This 492-nucleotide ribosomal RNA is filed under the name uncultured bacterium. Its description in RNAcentral is "partial 16S ribosomal RNA". It matches the Rfam family "Bacterial small subunit ribosomal RNA", at positions 29 to 507 of the family's 1533-position model. The record is from RNAcentral.
AGUGAGCGCUGGCGGUAGGCCUAACACAUGCAAGUCGAACGGCAGCACAGUAAGAGCUUGCUCUUACGGGUGGCGAGUGGCGGACGGGUGAGGAAUACAUCGGAAUCUACUUUUUCGUGGGGGAUAACGUAGGGAAACUUACGCUAAUACCGCAUACGACCUACGGGUGAAAGCAGGGGAUCUUCGGACCUUGCGCGAUUGAAUGAGCCGAUGUCGGAUUAGCUAGUUGGCGGGGUAAAGGCCCACCAAGGCGACGAUCCGUAGCUGGUCUGAGAGGAUGAUCAGGCAAACUGGAAAUGAGACAAGGUCCAGACUCCUACGGGAGGCAGCAGUGGGGAAUAUUGGACAAAGGGCGCAAGCCUGAUCCAGCCAUACCGCGUGGGUGAAGAAGGCCUUCGGGUUGUAAAGCCCUUUUGUUGGGAAAGAAAAGCAGCAGGUUAAUACCCCGCUGUUCUGACGGUACCCAAAGAAUAAGCACCGGCUAACUUCGUG